Molecule: ribosomal RNA, 495 nt
Filed under: uncultured bacterium
Lineage: Bacteria
Description: partial 16S ribosomal RNA
Rfam family: Bacterial small subunit ribosomal RNA
Source: RNAcentral
GACGAACGCUGGCGGCGUGCCUAAUACAUGCAAGUAGAGCGCUGAAGGAGGAGCUUGCUUCUAUGGAUGUGUUGCGCACGGGUGUGUAACGCGUAGGUAACCUGCCUGGUAGAGGGGGAUAACUAUUGGAAACGAUAGCUAAUAUCGCAUAAUAGUUGAUGUUGCAUGAGAUUUGCUUAAAAGGUGCAAUUGUAUUACUACCAGAUGGACCUGCGUUGGAUUAGCUAGUUGGUGGGGUAACGGCUGCACAAGGCGACAAAACAUAGCCGGCCUGGGGAGGGGGACGGCCACACUGGGAACGGAACACGGCCCAGACUCCUACGGGGGGCAACAGUAGGGAAUCUUUGGGAAUGGACGGAAAGCUGACCGGACAACGCCGCGGGAGGGAAGGAAGGUCUCCGGACGUAAAGCUCUGUUGAAAGGGAAGAACGAGUGGGAGAGUGGAAAGUGCACGCUUUGACGGUAUCUUACCAGAAAGCGACGGCUAACUACGUG